Long non-coding RNA from Loxodonta africana (African savanna elephant), 115 nucleotides. It matches the Rfam family "Nuclear enriched abundant transcript 1 conserved region 2". Lineage: Eukaryota; Metazoa; Chordata; Mammalia; Proboscidea; Elephantidae. The record is from Rfam.
CCUUUUGGACUUUCUCUUCUGGGUCUGAAAUUGACCUCUUCUGUGAGCUCACUCUUCCCCUCCUCCAUCUUUUAACUCUCUCAAGUUAUUCAUUCACUUAAAAAAUUGCUCUGGU